This is a long non-coding RNA of Tetranychus urticae (two-spotted spider mite), 1070 nucleotides long. RefSeq lists it as uncharacterized. Lineage: Eukaryota; Metazoa; Arthropoda; Arachnida; Trombidiformes; Tetranychidae. The record is from RefSeq and is a predicted model, not a curated record.
UAUUUGGUGAAAUGAGCACUAGCUCCCAUGUUGGGAACAUCAAUCAAUUCUUCUUCAUUUGAAUUCGCUGGCAAUAAAAUAGCUAUUCUUUAUGAUAUCCCUCACAUUUUCAAAUUGAUAAGGAAUCACUGGCUAACUAAACCCUUGUCGUUAAGAUUAGAAAAUGCUGAGGAAAUCAUAAAAUGGACGGAUUUAGCUAAUUAUCUCCGUCCUCAAAUAAAAGCUCCUUUCUACCAGUGCCCGAAGCUGACAGCCUUGCACCUUGAUCCUACUUUCACCGCUGAAGAUGAUCCCACAGAAGAUUUCAGUGCUUUAAAUGACCAUAGAAUCACCAAUAAUUCACCUGAUCGUCAUGUCAUUUCAUACAUUGCUGGAUACAUCAUCAAAUGCAUCAAAAAAAAGAAAUCAUCAUGUUCAAACUGCAUAUCAUCAAUUGACACAACUCAUCUUCUACCAGUCCAUUCAUUCACCCGCAUCAGAGAGUAUUUUGGCGAAAAUUCAACUUAUCAUCUUCAGUAUUUUCGGUGAGAUUUACCAUUGAAUUGCACACUCUUCUUCCUUUACUCUUCGAUUGAGCUGAUUCUGGUUGUCAGAGUAUCUGUUUUGGCAUCUCCUCUCCCUGAUUACAGUAAUUUUCGAUUGAAAAGACCAAUCGAAAAUUACUGUAUUGCUGAUUUGUCUGAAUAGAUGAUUGAAUAAUUUCUAGUGAUUUACUGUGAAUUUAUCAUGUCUUUACUGUCACUAAUACUAAUACUUAUCAUAAAGAACUUCAUUAACCUCCUAACAGUUUAAAAUCAACAUUCUGAAUUGCUAUGAAAGUGGAUAAAGUUAUCUAGAUUUCGCUCUUGUUUUUAAUAAACUUAAAACCUUAAUUGCUCUCUCUAUUGAAUACAAAAAAAUAUUUCCCUUUUGAUUGUUGUCAUUCGAUGCAUUCCCGUUUGGAGCUGCAAACGGAAAGCCUUUGACUCCUGAACCUGGUUUCUUUUCUUGGAUUGAAAAAAAUCACCAGGAACUUUGAUGACAUCGUUUGAAAUAUUAAUAGCAAAUAAAAUGUUUUUGUACACUAUAAA